GAUGAACGCUAGCGAUAGGCUUAACACAUGCAAGUCGAGGGGCAGCACAAGGUAGCUUGCUAUCUGGGUGGCGACCGGCGCACGGGUGCGUAACGCGUAUGCAACUUGCCCUAUACAGGAGGAUAACCCGUCGAAAGACGGACUAAUACUGCGUAUGCUCACAACUUGGCAUCAAGUGGUGAGGAAAGAAAUUCGGUAUAGGAUAGGCAUGCGUCCCAUUAGCUUGUUGGUGAGGUAACGGCUCACCAAGGCAACGAUGGGUAGGGGAACUGAGAGGUUUAUCCCCCACACUGGUACUGAGACACGGACCAGACUCCUACGGGAGGAAGCAGUGAGGAAUAUUGGUCAAUGGGCGCGAGCCUGAACCAGCCAAGUCGCGUGAAGGAUGACUGUCUUAUGGAUUGUAAACUUCUUUUAUACGGGAAUAACAAGAGUCACGUGUGACUCCCUGCAUGUACCGUAUGAAUAAGCAGCGGCUAACUCCGUG
This 487-nucleotide ribosomal RNA is filed under the name uncultured bacterium. RNAcentral's name for it is "partial 16S ribosomal RNA". It matches the Rfam family "Bacterial small subunit ribosomal RNA", at positions 28 to 507 of the family's 1533-position model. The record is from RNAcentral.